This is a long non-coding RNA of Pocillopora damicornis (cauliflower coral), 240 nucleotides long. The record is from RefSeq and is a predicted model, not a curated record. Lineage: Eukaryota; Metazoa; Cnidaria; Anthozoa; Scleractinia; Pocilloporidae.
UUAAAAGCGUUAGAUUAUUAUGUUUUAAGUCAGUUUUUCAGCAGAAUCGAAGUGAGAAAGAAGUUAUUUUGUUAUCGUUUUUCUGUCUCUAAAUCCGCUUACCUGGAGAAUCUGCUAACCCGUAAAGUGAGACUGUUGUAACGACCCGCCACAGAAAUCGAAUAAUUAUUAAAGCUUGGCUUAAUAUUAUACGGUUUGUGGUGGUCAUUUGAUCUAACCAGUUCCGAGUAAGGAAACAUU